AACGCGAAGAACCUUACCCAGGUUUGACAUGCAGUGGAAGUUAGCAGAGAUGUUAACGCCCUUCGGGGCCGCUGCACAGGUGCUGCAUGGCUGUCGUCAGCUCGUGCCGUGAGGUGUUGGGUUAAGUCCCGCAACGAGCGCAACCCUUAUCGUUAGUUGCCAACAGGUAAAGCUGGGAACUCUAGCGAGACUGCCUGGGUUAACCAGGAGGAAGGUGAGGAUGACGUCAAGUCCGCAUGGCCCUUAUGUCUGGGGCUACACACGUGCUACAAUGGUCGGUACAGAAGGCAGCGAAACCGUGAGGUGAAGCAAAUCCCAAAAAACCGGCCCCAGUUCAGAUUGUAGUCUGCAACUCGACUACAUGAAGACGGAAUUGCUAGUAAUGGCGAGUCAGCAACAUCGCCGUGAAUACGUUCCCGGGCCUUGUACACACCGGCUAC
Molecule: ribosomal RNA, 440 nt
Filed under: uncultured bacterium
Lineage: Bacteria
Description: bacterial SSU rRNA
Rfam family: Bacterial small subunit ribosomal RNA
Source: RNAcentral